GUUCCUUAAUCUUCGAAUUGGAUCCGGCUUAUUAUUUUUUGCAGACUGUUAGAGCAAUUUUAUAAAAGUUCACCAUGCAAAAGGAGAAGUGAUGUGUAUGGUUCUUGUUGGCCAGUUGGUAAACCCUGAAUUGCACUUUUUGUCUCAAAAAUGCAAAUUGUCUUGUAUAUAUAGGAUGUUCUGCUCAAGUGACUACAAAUUCAGAAAGCUUACAAGAGACAUCAAGGAGAUCAAGAGAAAGAAAAACUGUGGAAUGAGCUAUUG
Molecule: long non-coding RNA, 264 nt
Organism: Stegodyphus dumicola
Lineage: Eukaryota; Metazoa; Arthropoda; Arachnida; Araneae; Eresidae
Source: RefSeq, a predicted model, not a curated record